GAUGAACGCUGGCGGCGUGCUUAACACAUGCAAGUCGAACGGAAAGGCCCAAGCUUGCUUGGGUACUCGAGUGGCGAACGGGUGAGUAACACGUGGGUGAUCUGCCCUGCACUUCGGGAUAAGCCUGGGAAACUGGGUCUAAUACUGGAUAGGACCACUUCUUGGAUGUUGUGGUGGAAAGUUUUUUCGGGGUGGGAUGAGCUCGCGGCCUAUCAGCUUGUUGGUGGGGUAAUGGCCUACCAAGGCGUCGACGGGUAGCCGGCCUGAGAGGGUGUACGGCCACAUUGGGACUGGGAUACGGCCCAGACUCCUACGGGAGGCAGCAGUGGGGAAUAUUGCACAAUGGGCGCAAGCCUGAUGCAGCGACGCCGCGGGGGGGAUGACGGCCUUCGGGUUGGAAACUCCUUUCGCUAGGGACGAAGCGUUUUGUGACGGUACCUGGAGAAGAAGCACCGGCUAACUACGUG
RNAcentral lists this ribosomal RNA (467 nucleotides) under uncultured bacterium. RNAcentral describes it as "partial 16S ribosomal RNA". It matches the Rfam family "Bacterial small subunit ribosomal RNA", at positions 28 to 507 of the family's 1533-position model. The record is from RNAcentral.